CCUACGGGAGGCAGCAGUGGGGAAUAUUGCACAAUGGGCGCAAGCCUGAUGCAGCCAUGCCGCGUGUGUGAAGAAGGCCUUCGGGUUGUAAAGCACUUUCAGCGGGGAGGAAGGCGGUGAGGUUAAUAACCUCAUCGAUUGACGUUACCCGCAGAAGAAGCACCGGCUAACUCCGUGCCAGCAGCCGCGGUAAUACUGAGGGUGCAAGCGUUAAUCGGAAUUACUGGGCGUAAAGCGCACGCAGGCGGUCUGUCAAGUCGGAUGUGAAAUCCCCGGGCUCAACCUGGGAACUGCAUUCGAAACUGGCAGGCUAGAGUCUUGUAGAGGGGGGUAGAAUUCCAGGUGUAGCGGUGAAAUGCGUAGAGAUCUGGAGGAAUACCGGUGGCGAAGGCGGCCCCCUGGACAAAGACUGACGCUCAGGUGCGAAAGCGUGGGGAGCAAACAGGAUUAGAUACCCGUGUAGUC
Molecule: ribosomal RNA, 465 nt
Filed under: uncultured Klebsiella sp.
Lineage: Bacteria; Pseudomonadati; Pseudomonadota; Gammaproteobacteria; Enterobacterales; Enterobacteriaceae
Description: bacterial SSU rRNA
Rfam family: Bacterial small subunit ribosomal RNA
Source: RNAcentral